Molecule: ribosomal RNA, 253 nt
Filed under: uncultured bacterium
Lineage: Bacteria
Description: partial 16S ribosomal RNA
Rfam family: Bacterial small subunit ribosomal RNA
Source: RNAcentral
UACAGAGGGUGCAAGCGUUAAUCGGAAUUACUGGGCGUAAAGCGUGCGUAGACGGUAGCGUAAGUCGGGUGUGAAAGCCCCGGGCUCAACCUGGGAAUUGCGAUGGAGACUGCAAGGCUAGAAUCUGGCAGAGGGGGGUAGAAUUCCACGUGUAGCAGUGAAAUGCGUAGAGAUGUGGAGGAACACCGAUGGCGAAGGCAGCCCCCUGGGUCAAGAUUGACGCUCAUGCACGAAAGCGUGGGGAGCAAACAGG